RNAcentral lists this ribosomal RNA (301 nucleotides) under uncultured bacterium. RNAcentral describes it as "partial 16S ribosomal RNA". It matches the Rfam family "Bacterial small subunit ribosomal RNA", at positions 509 to 807 of the family's 1533-position model. The record is from RNAcentral.
CAGCAGCCACGGUAAUACAGAGGAUGCAAGCGUUAUCCGGAAUGAUUGGGCGUAAAGGGCUCGCAGGCGGUUUCUUAGGUCUGAUGUGAAAGCCCCCGGCUCAACCGGGGAGGGUCAUUGGAAACUGGGAAACUUGAGUGCAGAAGAGGAGGGUGGAAUUCCACGUGUAGCGGUGAAAUGCGUAGAGAUGUGGAGGAACACCAGUGGCGAAGGCGACUCUCUGGUCUGUAACUGACGCUGAGGAGCGAAAGCGUGGGGAGCGAACAGGAUUAGAUACCCCAGUAGUCCCUGUCUCUUAUAC